UUCCCGCUGAUUUCUGGAUACC
This 22-nucleotide non-coding RNA is filed under the name Arabidopsis thaliana (thale cress). The record is from RNAcentral. Lineage: Eukaryota; Viridiplantae; Streptophyta; Magnoliopsida; Brassicales; Brassicaceae.